UACAGAGGUCCCGAGCGUUGUUCGGAUUCACUGGGCGUAAAGGGUGCGUAGGUGGCGUGGUAAGUUUGAUGUGAAAGCUCAGGGCUCAACCCUGAAAUGGCAUUGAAUACUACUGUGCUGGAGGUUUGGAGGGGGGACUGGAAUUCUUGGUGUAGCAGUGAAAUGCGUAGAUAUCAAGAGGAACACCAGUGGCGAAGGCGAGUCCCUGGACAACACCUGACACUGAGGCACGAAAGCCGGGGGAGCAAACAGGAUUAGAAACCCCCGUAGUCC
This 273-nucleotide ribosomal RNA is filed under the name uncultured bacterium. RNAcentral describes it as "partial 16S ribosomal RNA". It matches the Rfam family "Bacterial small subunit ribosomal RNA", at positions 524 to 796 of the family's 1533-position model. The record is from RNAcentral.